AGAGUUUGAUCCUGGCUCAGGAUUAAUGCUGGUGGUAUGCAUAACACAUGCAAGUCGAACGAGUAGAACUUGUUCUGCUAGUGGCAAACGGGCGAGUAAUACAUAUUUAACUUACUUCCUCGAGUAGGAUAGCAGCCCGAAAGGGCUAUUAAUACUACAUAGGUUUAUGGACUUGUAAAUUAAAGGAUGCGCCCUCGGGAACCUCGCGCGGAAAAGGGAAUAUGUCCUAUUAGGUAGUUGGCGGGGUAAAGGCCCACCAAGCCAACGAUGGAUAGCUGGACUUAGAGGUUGAACAGCCGCAAUGGGAUUGAGAUAUGGUCCAUAUUCCUACGGGAAGCAACAGUGAGGAAUUUUUCACAAUGGACGAAAGUCUGAUGGAGCAAUACCACGUGAACGAUGAAGGUCUUCUGAUUGUAAAGUUCUUUUAUUUAGGAAAAAAGCGCGCCCUUAUGGUACUCAUUGAAUAAGUGACAGCUAACUAUGUGCCAGUAGUUGCGGUAAAACAUAGGUCACAAGCAUUAUCCGGAUUUAUUGGGCGUAAAGGAAGCGUAGUCGGGGAGGCUGAUCCAUUGUUAAAGGCAUUGCUCAACAAAUGUGUGCGAUGGAGAUCUCCUCCUUAGAGUUAAUCAAGGGGUACUGGAAUUCAAUGUGUAGCGGUGGAAUGCGUAGAUAUAUUGAGGAAAACCAGAGGCUAAGGCGAGUACCUGGGAUAUAACUGACGCUGAGGCUUGAAAGCGUGGGGAGUAAAUGGGAUUAGAUACCCCAGUAGUCCACGCCGUAAACGAUGAGCAUUAGGUAUUUGAUGUUAGGUCGAGUGCUGUAGCUAACGCGUUAAAUGCUCCGCCUGGGUAGUAUAUAUGCAAAUAUGAAACUCAAAGAAAUUGACGGGGACCUGAACAAGUGGUGGAGCAUGUUGCUUAAUUCGAUAAUACACGAAAAACCUUACCAAGGCUUGUUAUCUACUGCAAAACUAUAGAAAUAUGGUGGAGUAUAUCAGUAAGACAGGUGGUGCAUGGCUGUCGUCAGCUCGUGUCUUGAGAUGUUUGGUUAAGUCCCGUAACGAGCGCAACCCUACUCUCUAGUUAAUUAGUUCUAGAGUGACUGAAUCGUAAGAUAUAGGAAGGAUGGGGCCAAGUCAAGUCAUCAUGCCCCUUAUGCCUUGGGUUGCAAACGUGCUACAAUGGUAGGUACAAUGUGUUGCAAUCUAGCGAUAGUGAGCUAAUCACCGAAAACCUAUCUCAGUCCGGAUAAAAGGUUGCAAUUCGCCUAUUUGAAGUUGGAAUUACUAGUAAUCCUGUGUCAGCUAUGUCAGGGUGAAUACGUUCCCAGGUCUUGUACACACCGCCCGUCAAACUAUGAAAGAAAGUAUCAGUCAAAACCGCAUUCAAUUGUGUCUAGAUUGGUAAUUUUGAUUGGAGUUAAGUCGUAACAAGGUAACC
RNAcentral lists this ribosomal RNA (1439 nucleotides) under Mycoplasma sp. TX1294-E. Its description in RNAcentral is "partial 16S ribosomal RNA". It matches the Rfam family "Bacterial small subunit ribosomal RNA". The record is from RNAcentral. Lineage: Bacteria; Bacillati; Mycoplasmatota; Mollicutes; Mycoplasmatales; Mycoplasmataceae.